GAUGAACGCUGGCGGCGUGCCUAAUACAUGCAAGUCGAGCGAACAGACGAGGAGCUUGCUCCUCUGACGUUAGCGGCGGACGGGUGAGUAACACGUGGAUAACCUACCUAUAAGACUGGGAUAACUUCGGGAAACCGGAGCUAAUACCGGAUAAUAUAUUGAACCGCAUGGUUCAAUAGUGAAAGACGGUUUUGCUGUCACUUAUAGAUGGAUCCGCGCCGCAUUAGCUAGUUGUUAAGGUAACGGCUUACCAAGGCAACGAUGCGUAGCCGACCUGAGAGGGUGAUCGGCCAACUCGGAACUGAGAACCGGUCCAGACUCCUACGGGAGGCAGCAGUAGGGAAUCUUCCGCAAUGGGCGAAAGCCUGACGGAGCAACGCCGCGUGAGUGAUGAAGGUCUUCGGAUCGUAAAACUCUGUUAUUAGGGAAGAACAAAUGUGUAAGUAACUAUGCACGUCUUGACGGUACCUAAUCAGAAAGCCACGGCUAACUACGUG
RNAcentral lists this ribosomal RNA (497 nucleotides) under uncultured bacterium. Its description in RNAcentral is "partial 16S ribosomal RNA". It matches the Rfam family "Bacterial small subunit ribosomal RNA", at positions 28 to 507 of the family's 1533-position model. The record is from RNAcentral.